RNAcentral lists this small nuclear RNA (107 nucleotides) under Jaculus jaculus (lesser Egyptian jerboa). The record is from RNAcentral. Lineage: Eukaryota; Metazoa; Chordata; Mammalia; Rodentia; Dipodidae.
GUGCUCGCUUCGGCAGCACACAUACUAAAAUUGGAACGAUACAGAGAAGAUUAGCUUGGCCCCUGCGCAAGGAUGACAUGCAAAUUCGUGAAUUGUUGUUGUUUUCU